Molecule: non-coding RNA, 201 nt
Organism: Pelobates cultripes (western spadefoot toad)
Lineage: Eukaryota; Metazoa; Chordata; Amphibia; Anura; Pelobatidae
Source: the annotation of a GenBank genome assembly
CACUACAGCUUCUAAAAGUUGUAGUUGUCUUCCUGCACAAGUUAUGCUGAACCAUUUAGAAGGCCUGCAAGACCAGGAGCUCUGUAUAGGUCCAAAUAAACUAUACCCAACAUUAUUUCUGCAACAAAAUUACAAAUGAUCGAUUUUUGUAUAAUACAUGACUUUGUUUUCCCUGACCAACUAAAAAAAAUGAUUUUUUUU